AGUGAACGCUGGCGGCGUGCUUAACACAUACAAGUCGAACGAGACAGGAACAUAUCUUGCUAUAUUUGUCAACUAAGUGGCACACGGGUGCGCAACUUCUAGCUAACCUGCCCAUCAGAACAGCAUUACAGCUAGAAACGACUGUUAAUGCCCUAUAUGCCUUUAAUACAUAAUUACGCAGUGGCGACGCUUUAGUGCUUAAUGAUGGGUCUGUCUGGUAUCAGCUUGUUGGUGAGUUAAUGGCUCACCAAGGCUAUGACGCCUAACAGGUUUUAGAGGAUGAGCAGUCAUACUGGAACUUAGACACGGUCCAGACUCCUACGGGAGGCAGCAGUGGCGAAUAUUGCACAAUGGACGAAAGUCUGAUGCAGCAACGCCGCGUGGAGGAUGACACAUUUCGGUGCGUAAACUCCUUUUAUAUAGGAAGAUAAUGACGGUACUAUAUGAAUAAGCACCGGCUAACUCCGUGCCAGCAGCCGCCGUAA
This 485-nucleotide ribosomal RNA is filed under the name uncultured bacterium. Its description in RNAcentral is "partial 16S ribosomal RNA". It matches the Rfam family "Bacterial small subunit ribosomal RNA", at positions 29 to 523 of the family's 1533-position model. The record is from RNAcentral.